GACGAACGCUGGCGGCGUGCCUAAUACAUGCAAGUAGAACGCUGAAGGAGGAGCUUGCUCUUCUGGAUGAGUUGCGAACGGGUGAGUAACGCGUAGGUAACCUGCCUGGUAGCGGGGGAUAACUAUUGGAAACGAUAGCUAAUACCGCAUAACAGUAGAUGUUGCAUGACAUUUACUUAAAAGGUGCAAUUGCAUCACUACCAGAUGGACCUGCGUUGUAUUAGCUAGUUGGUGGGGUAACGGCUCACCAAGGCGACGAUACAUAGCCGACCGGAGAAGGUGAUCGGCCACACUGGGACGGAGACACGGCCCAGACUCCUACGGGAGGCAGCAGUAGGGAAUCGUCGGCAAUGGACGGAAGUCUGACCGAGCAACGCCGCGUGAGUGAAGAAGGUUGUCGGAUCGUAAAGCUCUGUUGUAAGAGAAGAACGAGUGUGAGAGUGGAAAGUUCACACUGUGACGGUAUCUGACCAGAAAGGGACGGCUAACUACGUG
RNAcentral lists this ribosomal RNA (495 nucleotides) under uncultured bacterium. RNAcentral's name for it is "partial 16S ribosomal RNA". It matches the Rfam family "Bacterial small subunit ribosomal RNA", at positions 28 to 507 of the family's 1533-position model. The record is from RNAcentral.